AGUGAACGCUGGCGGUAGGCCUAACACAUGCAAGUCGAACGGCAGCACAGUAAGAGCUUGCUCUUACGGGUGGCGAGUGGCGGACGGGUGAGGAAUACAUCGGAAUCUACUUUUUCGUGGGGGAUAACGUAGGGAAACUUACGCUAAUACCGCUUACGACCUACGGGGGAAAGCAGGGGAUCUUCGGACCUUGGGCGAUUGAAUGAGCCGAUGUCGGAUUAGCUAGUUGGCGGGGUAAAGGCCCACCAAGGCGACGAUCCGUAGCUGGUCUGAGAGGAUGAUCAGCCACACUGGAACUGAGACACGGUCCAGACUCCUACGGGAGGCAGCAGUGGGGAAUAUUGGACAAUGGGCGCAAGCCUGAUCCAGCCAUACCGCGUGGGUGAAGAAGGCCUUCGGGUUGUAAAGCCCUUUUGUUGGGAAAGAAAAGCAGCAGGUUAAUACCCCGCUGUUCUGACGGUACCCAAAGAAUAAGCACCGGCUAACUUCGUG
Molecule: ribosomal RNA, 492 nt
Filed under: uncultured bacterium
Lineage: Bacteria
Description: partial 16S ribosomal RNA
Rfam family: Bacterial small subunit ribosomal RNA
Source: RNAcentral